UACGAAGGGGGCUAGCGUUGCUCGGAAUCACUGGGCGUAAAGGGUGCGUAGGCGGGUUUUUAAGUCAGGGGUGAAAUCCUGGAGCUCAACUCCAGAACUGCCUUUGAUACUGAAAAUCUUGAGUCCGGGAGAGGUGAGUGGAACUGCGAGUGUAGAGGUGAAAUUCGUAGAUAUUCGCAAGAACACCAGUGGCGAAGGCGGCUCACUGGCCCGGUACUGACGCUGAGGCACGAAGGCUGGGGUAGCGAACAGG
This 253-nucleotide ribosomal RNA is filed under the name uncultured bacterium. RNAcentral describes it as "partial 16S ribosomal RNA". It matches the Rfam family "Bacterial small subunit ribosomal RNA", at positions 524 to 776 of the family's 1533-position model. The record is from RNAcentral.